UACAGAGGGGGCAAGCGUUGUUCGGAAUUACUGGGCGUAAAGGGCGCGUAGGCGGCCUGCUAAGUCGAACGUGAAAUCCCCGGGCUUAACCUGGGAAUGGCGCUUGAAACUACGGGGCUCGAGUAUGGCAGAGGGAGGUGGAAUUCCACGUGUAGCGGUGAAAUGCGUAGAGAUGUGGAGGAACACCGAUGGCGAAGGCAGCCUCCUGGGCCAAUACUGACGCUCAUGCACGAAAGCGUGGGGAGCAAACAGG
RNAcentral lists this ribosomal RNA (253 nucleotides) under uncultured bacterium. RNAcentral describes it as "partial 16S ribosomal RNA". It matches the Rfam family "Bacterial small subunit ribosomal RNA", at positions 524 to 776 of the family's 1533-position model. The record is from RNAcentral.